This 458-nucleotide ribosomal RNA is filed under the name uncultured bacterium. Its description in RNAcentral is "bacterial SSU rRNA". It matches the Rfam family "Bacterial small subunit ribosomal RNA", at positions 29 to 506 of the family's 1533-position model. The record is from RNAcentral.
GUGAACGCUGGCGGCGUGCCUAACACAUGCAAGUCGAACGAUGAUAGAGAGCUUGCUCUCUUGAUUAGUGGCGCACGGGUGAGUAUACCAUAGAUAAUGUACCUCUUCGUUCGGGAUAGCCACUGGAAACGGUGAUUAAUACCGGAUACUCCUUCUUACUCUAAGGUAAGUCGGGAACGUUUUUUCGCUAAGAGAUCAGUCUAUGUCCUAUCAGCUAGUUGGUGAGGUAAUGGCUCACCAAGGCUAUGACGGGUAUCUGGUUUGAGAGGAUGAUCAGACACACUGGAACUGAGACACGGUCCAGACUCCUACGGGAGGCAGCAGUGAGGAAUAUUGCACAAUGGAGGAAACUCUGAUGCAGCAACGCCGCGUGGGGGAUGACGCAUGUCGGUGUGUAAACUCCUUUUAAGAGGGAAGAUAAGGACGGUACCUCUUGAAGAAGCACCGGCUAACCCCGU